This 253-nucleotide ribosomal RNA is filed under the name uncultured bacterium. RNAcentral's name for it is "partial 16S ribosomal RNA". It matches the Rfam family "Bacterial small subunit ribosomal RNA", at positions 524 to 776 of the family's 1533-position model. The record is from RNAcentral.
UACAGAGGUCUCAAGCGUUGUUCGGAUUCAUUGGGCGUAAAGGGUGCGUAGGUGGUUUGGUAAGUCGGAUGUGAAAUCCCCGGGCUCAACCUGGGAACUGCAUUCGAAACUGCCUGGCUAGAGUUUGAGAGAGGGAAGUGGAAUUCCACAUGUAGCGGUGAAAUGCGUAGAUAUGUGGAGGAACAUCAGUGGCGAAGGCGGCUUCCUGGCUUAAAACUGACACUGUGGCGCGAAAGCGUGGGUAGCAAACAGG